RNAcentral lists this ribosomal RNA (238 nucleotides) under uncultured bacterium. RNAcentral describes it as "partial 16S ribosomal RNA". It matches the Rfam family "Bacterial small subunit ribosomal RNA", at positions 1255 to 1500 of the family's 1533-position model. The record is from RNAcentral.
UGGCGACAUAGAGCGGAACCCGAAAACCUAGUCUCAGUUCGGAUUGGAGUCUGCAACCCGACUCCAUGAAGCUGGAUUCGCUAGUAAUCGCGCAUCAGCCACGGCGCGGUGAAUACGUUCCCGGGCCUUGUACACACCGCCCGUCAAGCCAUGGAAGCCGGGAGUGCCUGAAGUGCGUGAGCGCAAGCAGCGCCCUAAGGUAAAACCGGUGACUGGGGCUAAGUCGUAACAAGGUAGC